AGAGUUUGAUCAUGGCUCAGAUUGAACGCUGGCGGCAGGCUUAACACAUGCAAGUCGAGCGGAGAUGAGGUGCUUGCACCUUAUCUUAGCGGCGGACGGGUGAGUAAUGCUUAGGAAUCUGCCUAUAAGUGGGGGACAACAUUCCGAAAGGAAUGCUAAUACCGCAUACGUCCUACGGGAGAAAGCAGGGGAUCUUCGGACCUUGCGCUAAUAGAUGAGCCUAAGUCGGAUUAGCUAGUUGGUGGGGUAAAGGCCUACCAAGGCGACGAUCUGUAGCGGGUCUGAGAGGAUGAUCCGCCACACUGGGACUGAGACACGGCCCAGACUCCUACGGGAGGCAGCAGUGGGGAAUAUUGGACAAUGGGGGGAACCCUGAUCCAGCCAUGCCGCGUGUGUGAAGAAGGCCUUAUGGUUGUAAAGCACUUUAAGCGAGGAGGAGGCUACUGAGACUGAUACUCUUGGAUAGUGGACGUUACUCGCAGAAUAAGCACCGGCUAACUCUGUGCCAGCAGCCGCGGUAAUACAGAGGGUGCGAGCGUUAAUCGGAUUUACUGGGCGUAAAGCGUGCGUAGGCGGCUUUUUAAGUCGGAUGUGAAAUCCCCGAGCUUAACUUGGGAAUUGCAUUCGAUACUGGGAAGCUAGAGUAUGGGAGAGGAUGGUAGAAUUCCAGGUGUAGCGGUGAAAUGCGUAGAGAUCUGGAGGAAUACCGAUGGCGAAGGCAGCCAUCUGGCCUAAUACUGACGCUGAGGUACGAAAGCAUGGGGAGCAAACAGGAUUAGAUACCCUGGUAGUCCAUGCCGUAAACGAUGUCUACUAGCCGUUGGGGCCUUUGAGGCUUUAGUGGCGCAGCUAACGCGAUAAGUAGACCGCCU
RNAcentral lists this ribosomal RNA (872 nucleotides) under uncultured organism. RNAcentral describes it as "bacterial SSU rRNA". It matches the Rfam family "Bacterial small subunit ribosomal RNA", at positions 9 to 873 of the family's 1533-position model. The record is from RNAcentral.